This is a long non-coding RNA of Cyanistes caeruleus (blue tit), 2125 nucleotides long. NCBI's taxonomy places the organism in Eukaryota, Metazoa, Chordata, Aves, Passeriformes, Paridae. The record is from Ensembl.
AUGUCAAAGAGACAGGACGAGAACGUCCACUUCCAGCCCCAUGAGGGGCAGCGAUUGCUGUCCAAGCGGCAACAGGUGAGGGAUGGGGAUGGAGGGAGAGGCUGCACUGGGACCUGGGGGAAGGCUGGGGGCAGAGAGCCAGGCCUGGCACCAGGCCUUGCUCUGGGGAGGAGCCGGUGCCAGCAUGGCCCAGGUGAAGGAAUGCCCCAGAGACAGCGAGCACAGCUGGGAACCCAGCCCAGCCUGCCUGCAGCGGUCAGCACCUGCCUUAGGGCCAGAGCUGAGCUUGUCUCCGUGUGGGGGGACAGCGUGUCUGCACAGCCGCCUCCAUCCCACACCUCUUCCUGCUUCCCACAGGUGCCUCAGAGGCCACCGCAGGCAGCAGCAGAGGUCACAUGGGUGACCAUCGUGCCCCUCCACGGGGACAGACUCACAGGACACCUCACACAGGUGACACAGAACACCUCGUGGAGGUGUCCUCAGAAGGACAGCCUGGAGGGCAGGUAUUCACUGCUCCGCAGCGGCACAGUCACACGGCCAAAGAGGUUGUCCGUGUCAGACUUGCCGCCACUCCAUGGCCCUCCAUUGACAGUGACACCUCCGUGCCGGCUCAGCUCUGAAAUGCCAAGAGCAGCCUCGGCAAGGGUCAAGCUGCCCCCUCUGCCAGCAGCCCCAGCAGCCUCUGGGGCUUAUCCCAGAGGCAGAGCAUUGUCCAUGGGCCCUGUGGCCAGCAGCCACCGAGAGCUUGUGCCACCUUCUCGGUGGGGCACUGUGGCUGCUCACAGGGCCCGGGGAACACCUUCCCUGGACAGCUCAGCUGAAAGGCUCUGGCGAGGGUCAGCGGCAAGGCAGGGCCAUCACCUGCCACCCCUGCGACGUGCAGGGGGCAUGCUGCUCCGCACAGGGACCCAGCCUGACUGGAAACACCUGGGGCACAGCGAGAUGGAGGAGUUCAUUGAGGUGCAGGAACAGCACAGUGGCAACAUCUAUGCAGACCUGCUUAGAAGCCUUGCCCUGUGCCUGUAUGAAGACACAUCUACCAGGUCUACCUGCACCCAGGCGCAGUCAAGUGUCUGCCAGGAUGUACAUUCACAGCACCAGGUGUCAGAGCAGCAGUCUGUCUCUGACAACUCCCAGUCCUGGGACACUCCUCCAAAGGAGCCAAACUGGCAGGAGGAAGAGCUCCCAGUAACAGAGGCUGCAGGAGACAAGGCCAGCGACCCACAGGGCACGUUGCUUGCCCUAUUGAAAGAGAAAGAGGGAGAGCCAGGAUCUUCUACCCGGGACAAAGAUCCCUGGGAUGAGGGGAACAGCAAGCUUUUGCCCACAUCAGAGCCUGAGGUAAGCUCAGACUUCACAGCCUCUCCCUCAUCUGGACGCCACUGUGAAGAGAGGGGAGCUCAUCAGCUGCCCGAGCACACUGCACAUGGCAAGCUGCUGUGCACGGGGCCUGAGGAUGCUUCAAAGCAUCCUCUGAAUAUCGAUGCAGAGGAGCUGGAGAAGUUGGAGGAAGACAUCCUCUCCUCCCUGCAUCAAGAAAGCCCCUCGGUGCCACACAGUCUUUGUGGCUGGAGCAAAGACUCUGUAGGAGAGACCGAAAACUACACACAGCUCGUGCCCCCUGACCGGUAUGAAGAGCUGUGGUCUCUCUUAAACAACAAGGACGCCCCAUCCAGGGACGCUCGGCUAGACCAGCUACUGGCCAAGUGGGAGGAAGAAGAGCUCCAUGACACAGACACUGCUGGAGAGAGGGACAGCGAGUCACAGAGCUCGUUGUCUCUCCCACUGCAAGAUGCGGGAGCAGAGCCAGAAGCUUUUCCCCUGCACAGCGAUCCCUGCGAUGAGGAGCACAGGCAGCAUCUCCCCAUGGCACUGCCGGAACACACAAAGAUGUUUGCGGUUUGUGCCUCGCCUGCUGAUCCUGCGGAGGAGGCCGACGCAGCAUGGCUUGAGGCUGGCUGUGCCCAGGCCGCCCCUCCCCAGGAAGAGCCCCACAGGGCUGGGGAGCCGGCAGGGGCUUGCCCGCUGCCUGCCCAGCCCCUGGCACGCAGCGCUCCUGCUUGCCCCGCCGGCAGCGCAGCCGUCCCGCAGCCCCCGGCCCCACGGCCAUGGCGCUCCAUCGCCA